Molecule: ribosomal RNA, 855 nt
Filed under: Schileykula trapezensis
Lineage: Eukaryota; Metazoa; Mollusca; Gastropoda; Stylommatophora; Orculidae
Description: partial 16S ribosomal RNA
Source: RNAcentral
UAAUUAAUAUAUAGAAUAUUUUCCCGAUAAAAAAAGAUCUAUAUAUAUUAUUUAAUUUAUUAGGUAAUUCCCUACAAUGUAGCAUUAUUGUAUACAAAAUUUUUAUAUAGAGGUGAAAUACCUACAAUUUUUUUGAUAUCUGGAUUAAGUUUAAAUGAAUUUAGUUCUUGACAUAAUCGAGGAGUUAUAAGAUUCUUCGAAAUUAGAAUUUUAGAUUUUAUGUUAUAUGGGAAUAAAUUUCUAAAUAUUUGUAUUUUAAUAAUAUUCAUGUCUAUUUUAUAUCUGUUUACUAAACUUUUUCUAUGCUUGAAUUUAAGUGCUAGUCUAUAAUGUUUAAAUAAGUAUUUCUAUUAAAUCAAAAAAAGGAACUCGGCAAACUCUUCUCCUCAACUGUUUACCAAAAACAUAGCUUAAAGGAAGUAAUUUAUUUUAAGUGUUUUCUGCCCAGUGAAAAUUUUAACGGCCGCAGUACACUGACUGUGCUAAGGUAGCAUAAUAAUUUGGCUUUUAAUUGAAGUCGGGUAUGAAAGGGAUUAUGGGGAGCAUCUGUCUUUUUUAGACGAGUAAAAAUUAUUAAGAAAGUGAAAAUUCUUUCGGUGAAAUAUGUAAGACGAGAAGACCCUAAGAAUUUUAUAUAAUUUUUAUGACAUUAUUUCAUAAGAAAUUUUUGUUGGGGCAACAGCUUUGGUAAACCAAAGUUACAAUUUAUUUUAUAUGCCAAUAAUUAUAAGAGAGAUAAAAUUACCUUAGGGAUAACAGCAUAAUUAUUUUGUUAGAUUGUGACCUCGAUGUUGGACUAAGGACUUAAUUAAAUAGCCUUUAAUUUUGCUGGUUCUGUUCGAACUAUUAACCUUA